UUUAGUAGAGACGGGGUUUCACCGUGUUAGCCAGGAUGGUUUCGAUCUUCUGACCUCGUGAUCCGCCCGUCUCGGCCUCCCAAAGUGCUGGGAUUACAGGCUUGAGCCACCGCGCCCGGCCUCUAGUUUUGUAAUUGUUAAAGAUAGAGUUAAUUUUGAUUUUGUUAGAUGAGGGAGGAAAACUCAACUGUUUCUCUUUGUUAUCUAAAUGUUUCAGAAUUCAGUCGUGAAGGAACAGGCAUUUUACACUAUGAAGACAUUCUUUUGAGAUUUUUUUUUUUUCAGUUGCUAUAUCAUAAGCAUUUUUAAAGUUUCUUUUCUAAUUUUACAUUGUAUUAGAUUUUCUGAUUCUUUUGUAAAUACAGAACUUAAAUAGAAGGCAACAGGAAAUUUAUAUAGGAACUAUUUUCAUUCCACUUGUAUAAGUUAAGUCUUGACUCUUUCAAAUGCAAAAAACAUAUUUUAUGCUUUGUUAAAAUUAUGGUGUCUCUUAGAUUGACUUUAGUUGGCUGUACUAUAUAAUAUAGAACUAUGAAUAUGUAAAAUAACAUGAAAAAUUGGAGGUGCUGGUGGUGUGGCUGACCCUGUUUCAGAAGCAGGAUAGUAUAAAAGCAUCAGCCUGACUAAGAAGGGCACUCCCACUAACUCGCUAUGUAAUCUUGACCUCUUUGGGCUUUAGUUCUUCUCAUAAAAGGAAGAGAUGUGUUGGACUAGACUAGAUGAUUACCACUGUCUCUUCUAGUUCUAAUCUUUUUAAUUAUAAUACCUGUAUUUUCAAGUUAUGUCAAUUAAAUCAUUAUCAGGUUAUUUCCUAAUGUAAGAAUAGCUGAAAUGUUGCAGAGAAAUAAGUGACCCAACAAAAUUUAUUCAUCUGUUAUGGGUAAGAUCUGCCAUAAAUUCUUCCUAAAGAAUUUGUUUACUAACUCUUGAGGCCACUGUGCUUUGCGGUCCAUUAGUAAACUUGUCUUGCUAAGUGCUAAACAGAAUACUGCUAUUUUGAGAGAGUCAAGACUCUUUCUUAAGGGCCAAGAAAGCAACUUGAGCCUUGGGCUAAUCUGGCUGAGUAGUCAGUUAUAAAAGCGUAAUUGCUUUAUAUUUAGGAUCAUUUUUUAUUGGGGGUGGACUUGGGGGGUUGCAUACAAAGAUAACAUAUAUAUCCAAGUUUCUGAAAUGAAAUGUUUUUAGAUUACUUUUUCAACUGUAAAUAAUGUACAUUUAAUGUCACAAAAAAAUUGUCUUCUGCAAAUUUUCUAGUAUAACAGAAAUUUUUGUAGAUGAAAUCAUUAUGUUUAGAGGUCUAAUGUUAUGUUUUCAUAUUACAGAGUGAAUUUGUAUUUAAACAAAAAUUUAAAUUUUGGAAUCCUCUAAACAAUUUUGUAUCUUUAAUUGGUUUAUUAUUAAAUAAAUCAUAUAAAAAUUCUCAGUGUUUCUGUUUUCAGGCAAAAGUUUCUUAAAGAAUAAGUGUACAAAGAAUAUUGCUAGAACAUUAGCAUUACUCCCUUUAAUCUAAAGAUGGUGGCCUCAGCAGCGAGAGGUGCUGUGGCGCUCCGUAGAAAUAUCGAUUGGCCGGUUGCUUUUGUGAGAAAAAUUCCUUGGACUGCGGCGUCGAGUCAGCUGAAAGAAUACUUUGCACAGUUUGGCCAUGUAAAAAGGUGUAUUGUACCUUUUGACAGGGGACUGGCUUUCACAGAGGUUUGGGUUCGGUUCAGUUUUCUUCAGAAGAACAACUUCAGAAUGCACUACAACAGGAAUAUCAUAUUAUAGAUGGAGUAAAGGUCCAGGUUCAAGCUAAAAGGCCAAAAGUUCUGCAAACAUCUGAUGAUGAAGAGAAAGAUUUUUGAGACCGCAGCCUAUUAAUAAAGUUAACAUAACUGAGAAAAAAAAAAAAAGAACAUUAGCAUUACUUAAUGUUUAUAAAUAAACAAACUCCAUUACUCAGAAUUGCAGGAUAUCAUCCUUUCACUUUUCCUUUAUAGCAGGCCAAAUGACAGUUUCUAAACAUCACACAAUGGAUUACCAAGUUGUAAAAAUUAGACAACAAUGAAAUAUUCCCAGCAAUAAUAUUAAACACACUUUUGUUUCGUUUUGUUUUGUUUUUGAGACAGAGUCAGCUCUGUCGCCCAGGCUGGAGAAUAGUGACGUGAUCGCGGCUCACUGCAACCUCCACCUCCCAGGUUCUAG
Molecule: RNA transcript, 2181 nt
Organism: Rhinopithecus roxellana (golden snub-nosed monkey)
Lineage: Eukaryota; Metazoa; Chordata; Mammalia; Primates; Cercopithecidae
Gene name: SRA stem-loop-interacting RNA-binding protein, mitochondrial-like
Exons: 1
Source: RefSeq, a predicted model, not a curated record